Onychostoma macrolepis is the source of this 553-nucleotide non-coding RNA. The record is from the annotation of a RefSeq genome assembly. Lineage: Eukaryota; Metazoa; Chordata; Actinopteri; Cypriniformes; Cyprinidae.
GUUUGACACUUCAAGCUUUCAGACUACUGAACAGUGACCAUGUUUACUGUUGUCUUCAUUGUAUUUUCCCUGCUUAAGGAGAGUGUUGAUGCAAAUACAAUAGAAUCUCUCUUACCAGAACAGCAUGUUUCAGUUGGACAAAGUGCUGUUAUCUCUUGCAAAUACAGUGGCAUUGGGCCCAGAUUUCAGUGGUACCGCCAAUAUCCAGGAUCCAGACCAGAGUACCUUAUUUUUAAUGCAGAGACUUCUGUUUCUUCCGAACCCACUUUACGUCUCAAAGCGCAGGCUAAAAAAGAAAUCACAGAAGUGGAACUGGAGAUCUCCUCUACUGAAGUCAAAGACUCUGCUGUAUAUUACUGCGCCCUGGUGCCCACAGUGACAGGAAACCCACCUGCUCUGUACAAAAACUUAAAUACAUUAACACAUCUUGCAUUACACAAACAUUGUGACUCACCAGCUUUCAAUCAAGCACAAUAAAUCAAUGAUGACUGAUCAAUCAACUGUUUUUAUUUUUCCAAAUCUAAUGAAACACUGUUAGGUCUUUUGAUUUUUA